This 262-nucleotide ribosomal RNA is filed under the name uncultured archaeon. Its description in RNAcentral is "partial 16S ribosomal RNA". It matches the Rfam family "Archaeal small subunit ribosomal RNA", at positions 748 to 1009 of the family's 1478-position model. The record is from RNAcentral.
AGGGUGUAAACGCUGCGGGCUUGGUGUUGGGGUCCUUUGAGGGCGCCCAGUGCCGGAGAGAAGUUGUUAAGCCUGCUGCUUGGGGAGUACGUCCGCAAGGAUGAAACUUAAAGGAAUUGGCGGGGGAGGCACCGCAACGGGAGGAGCGUGCGGUUCAAUUGGAUUCAACGCCGGACAACUCACCAGGGGCGGACAGCAGAAUGAUGGCCAGGUUGAUGACCUUGCUUGACAAGCUGAGAGGUGGUGCAUGGCGUAGUCGUGU